UGCAGCCACUGGGUCAAUCCAUCUCGUCAACGGUCUUCCUCUUUUUCCCUGACCCUCUACUUUACCAAGCAUGAUGUCCUUCUCCAGGGACUGGUCCCUCCUGAUAACAUGUCCACAGAAUAUGAGACGAAGGCUCACCAUUCUCACUUCUAAAGAGCAUUCUGGCUGCAGUUCUUCCAAGGCUGGUUUAUUGGUUAUGUACAGAAAUAAAAGAAAAUAGAAUGUUGUGAAAGACAGAACGACUUCGCUGGAAGUGAAAAGGGGCAAUGAGGAAAAGGCCUCUCGGCUCACUUAACACAGAUGCUUCCUCUCUGUUACGUAACAGCUCAGAAACCAGCUCUUUAUUCUUGUCAAAGGAAACAUAAAAAAAAACUGUUUUUAAACAGUCGAACAUCCAAAUAUGUACAAAACCAAAAAACUGUUGCCUUCAAGUCAGUUUCAACUCAUGGCAACCCCACGUGUUAUAGUGUAGAGCCACUUUAUGGGGGUUUCUUGGCAACCCCACGUGUUAUAGUGUAGAUCCGCUUUAUGGGGGUUUCUUGGCUGUAGCCUUUACGGAAGCAGGUCGCCAGGCCUUUCUUCCACGGCACCACUGAGUGAGUUCGAACCGACAACCUUUUGGUUAGCCAUUGAGCGGAAGCCAUUUGCACCACCCGGGGACCUCCGCAAGUAUGUACACCUGGAGCAGAAACACUGGAGAGCAUAGGAAGCUGAAAAAUAAGAAUACCUAAUGUAAACAGAAUUAUUUGAUGACAUUUUUUAAAUGGCUCCACUCCUAGAAACAGCCACAGUCUUGGCUCUGCCUGCUUUUCCCUGUGGGCCUGGGAAGGUGGCUAUAACCACAGCAGGGAGGUCUGGUGGAUUUGGUAAAUCUCCAGGAAAUGCUAUACCGCUUUCUGCUCCUAAAAGACGUGGUGACUUGUGAAGGGAUAAGCUGCAGGUUGUUUAAGGGGAAGGAGCCCUGGUGGUGCAACAAUUAAGCACUUGUUUGCUAACUAAAAGGUUGGCGAGUCAAACCCACCCAGCAGUUCCAUGGGAGAAAAGAUCUGGCAAUCUGCUCCCAUAGAGAUGACAGCCUAGAAAACCCUAUGCGGCAGUUCUACUCUAUCACACGGGGUCGCUGUGAGUCAGAAUCCACGUGACAGCACCAACAACAACUUAAGGGGGAGGAAAGCAGCAGAGGGGCCAUCAGAGACACAGCCAGACUUAGAGACUUGACUGGAGGCUGAAGGUCUGCACCUCCCCAGGGCUUCCUAAGACCUCAAAGAGAAACAUAGUUCCCAGAGAGGGGAAAGGUUGUUUCCUUUUGUUAUUGGACCCCAACGUUGGAAAUGUGUUUCUAAUUUGUUCUAACCAUUGCUGUGUUUCCAAUUUUAUAUUAUACUUGACAUUGAUUUUUUUCUAAGUUUUUUUUCUUUUUCCUUUUUGAUCCUAAGCAGCUCAGAAAGGAAACCACAAUACUAAUUUUGCAAGCUUGAGGCUUUGGCCCCGUCUUCACGACACCUCAUUCUCUGACAGGCUUUAAAAUCUGGAGGUGUAGGGCCGGUUCAGCAGCCAGUGUACAAGCCAGCUGAGCCUCUCCCCUCCUGCUAUGAUGUUUCACCACCCUGCACUGCCUUUUGUCACAUACUCUGUCCCUUCUUCGGGGCAGAGCUACUAAAAGAAGGAAUUUCUCAUUUUGUUGUUGUUAGUGCUGGGUGCUGUGGGUCCCAUUCCGACUCACAGCAGCCCGAUGUGACAAAGGAGAACCACCCUGUCGUGUUUCCUAGGCUGUAAUCUCUAACAGGAGCAGAUCACCAGGUCUUUCUCUCGAGGAGUGGCUGGUGAGUUUAAACCACCUACCUUUUGGUUAGCAGCUGAGUGCUUUAACCACCGCGCCACCAGGGCUCUUCAGCAGUAAACAGCCCAGACACAACUCCCUGUCCUCAUGGAGCGUACGUUCUAAUACGGGGAUAUUUUCGUUGUUGUUGUGCUCUGUUCAGUCCGUUCUGACUCCCAAGGAUUCUACAGGACAGAGUAGAACUGUCCCAUAGGGCUUUCUAGACAAUAAUCUUCACAGAAGCAGAUCGCCAGGGCUUUCUCCCAUGGAGCAGCUGGGUGGGUUUGAACCACUAACCUUUAGGUUAGCAGCCAAGCUCUUAACUGUUGUACCAUCAGGGCUCCUCACAUGGACUACAAAAAAAACAAGAAACUCGCUGCUUUUGAGUCCGACUCACAGCUGCCCUAUAGGACAGGGUAGAACUGCCCCAUGUGGUUUCCAAGGAGCAGCUCGUGGAUUCAAACUGCUGACCUCUUGGUUAGCAGCCAUAGCUCUUAAUCACUGCGCCAGUCUAAGACCUCUACGCUCUGCCUCUAUGUUAUACACUUCUCCAGCCUAAACAAGCCACAACUCUGUCGUGUGAACUAGUACAAAAUGGUUUGUCAGAAAGUCGGACACUCUUCCCUGAAGGAGCUCUGUUGGUGAAAUGGCUAAGCAUGCAGAUGGGAAGUGAGUCAGAAUCGCCUCGAUGGCAAAGGGUUUGGUUUGGUUUCGGUGCCGCAAUUGCUUAAGCUCUUGACUGCUAAUUGAAAGGUUGGUGGUUCCAGCCCGCCCAGCAGCUCCCGAGGAGAAAGACCUGUGAUACGCUCCCGUGAAGACCACAGCUUAGAAAACCCUAUGGGGCAGUUUUACUCAGCACGCAUGGGGUCACCAUGAGUUGGAAUCGACGCGACAGCAGCUAACAACAAGGAGAGGCUGCCACUUUCCUCGGCCCGUGGCUUCAUCGCUCUGACCUCUGCUUCCAUCAUCCAUCCCCUUCUCUGACUCUGACCCUGCUGCCUCGCUCUUGGAAGAACCCUUGUGAUUACACUGGGCCCUUCCAGGUAAUCCAAGCUAGUCUCCCCAUCUCAAGAUCCUUAACUUCAUCGUAUCUACAAAGUGCCUUUUGCCACGUGAGGUAGAGGCGGUCAUCAUGAGUGAAAUGGAGGUGCAUUAAACCUGAGCACAGAACAGCACAAGAUGAGAAAGGUACUCAGCAAUGUAUUUAAACUUUGAAAAACUUUACCAAGGCCACCGAAGACAAGAAAGCCUCCUGGAUGAAAAUCUUCUCACCAACUCACGUGAAGGUUCUACAGAUUCUUCAGAGGACAGAUAUCCCGGGAACGAAAACCAGGCCAAGACAUUCAUCAAGAGAAGGAAAGGGAGCGCAUCCUGGGAAGAUGGCACAAAUACAACAAGGAAAUGGUUCUUGGCUUGAGGAACUCUGAAUCAGGGAGCAGAGGAAAGCAGUGGGGAACUGCAGACAGGCAAGUAUCAACAAGAAGUCACAUAUGGUAAGAAAAUCAUUUCUUCCACCAACCCUGCCCCUCCCCAGCCAUGCAGGCCUCCAGCUAUUGUCAACUGGGGAAGUGGUCCCAGCUAAAGAGCAGCUUCCCUAACCACACUCCCUGUCUGUACAAAGAGAGUGGACCCCAAACUUCUACUCUACAAUCAACAAGGCACGCCUCCCCAGUGGUCUGUUUGGAGUGUGCCGGACCUCCUCCACACAGACACUGUUGGCUGCAAGCCUACUGUGAAUUGCUACAGGAGACCCUGCAGUGGACUCCACUCUCAUAGUCCAUGCUCUACCUGCUUCCCUGGGCACCCCAUAGCUCAGGCUUCUGAAACCGACAGGGCAGACCUCCCUUGGGGACACUUUGGGUCUGUCUUCUCCACCUUCUGGUCAGCACUUAGGACUACUAACUGAGGCUGCUGGGUGCUAGGAAGCAUGCAUCUUGAGUGGAGUCUAUACCCACAGCUCACAUACUACAGGGCAGACUCUGAUAACAAAAAGGCAGACCUUCCUGGGGGUCCAUUUGGAGCAUGACAACCCCUCCUCCACCUGGUAAAUAUCAGAUGCUGGAUUGAUACAAAUUCCAACAGAAGGUUCCCUACAGUGGGGCCAGGAGGAAGGUCGCCUAAGUGGAGACUGCCCUCACCACCAUCACAGGGCCACUGGGGCUCUGAUACAAACAAAGCAGAUCUUGUGGAGGUGAGUGCCAGCCCCUCCUCCUCCUGAAAAGAAGAAAAGUUGGCUUGUGCUUCCCCUGAAUGUCAACUCAGAUAUAAGCAGAGAAGGAAGCCUCAGACAAAAACAAAAAAAAAACUCAACAACCCAGCCCAGAAGGGAGCUCACUGGGAGUGGGUUUUCUGACUGAAAACAUGCUUGUAGAAACAGAGAUGUGAAGGGACUAAUAAUCAGAGAGAGAGGACUACAUUCUUUGGUGAAUAUAUUGAUUAGUACACAAUAUCUUGUCUGAGAGGCAGUACUCGCUGGUGGACAGGCUGACCACAGGAUGUUCUCUGCUGUGUUUGGGAGACAUUGGAAGUUGAAAACUGAGAUAUGGGACUUUCAAAACCUAAUUAAACCAGGGAGGAAAAAGGAACUAUCACAGAGAGACAGAGGAAAUGGUAAGCAAAAACCAAAGGCUUUGCCUGCCAAAGAGAUUUUUUGCAAAAAGUAAUUCAGGCAAAAACACCAAAUGCUGGAAAGAACCAAGAAAGUUAAUACCCUCAAAAAUUCCAGUGCCCUAACAAAAAAUCACAAGACACACAAGGAACAAAGAAAUGAUGGCCCAUCCAAAUGAACACAACAAAGGGAGUGAAAGCACUUCUAGGGUUAACCAAAUAAUGAAAAAAAUGGAAGGAUAUAAUAUAACAACAUUAAGCAUAAUUAAAGAGUUAAACAAAAAAAUAGGCAAAGGUAUCAAAGAAAUAAGGAAAACAAUGCAAGAACAAAAUGAGAUUCUAAAAAAAGAGAUAUUGCAACUGAAGGGAACGAUAAAUGAGAAACACAACAGAAGGACUUUCCAACAGAUUUAAUAAGACAGAAGAAAGAAUCAGUGAAUUAAAGGAUAAGAUAGUGAAAAUUACCAAAGCUGAAGAGUAACAAGAAUGGAGGCUCAAAAAGGCUAAGCACAGUUUAAUGGAAGUAUGAGACAAAAACAAGAGACAUAAUAUGUGCAUCAUGGGAAUUCCAAUAGGAGAUGAGAGAGAAAGGGAGAGAAAGAAUAGUUGACAAAGUAAUGACAGAAAAUUUCCCCAAUCUAACAAAGGACAUGAAUCUACAAAUCCAAGAAGUACAAAGAACCCUAAGCAAGAUAAACCCAAAGAAAUCUACACGAAGAUACAUCAUAGUUAGGCUCUCAAAAAAGUAAAGAUAAAGAGAUUUAAUCCUGAAACCAGGGAGAGAGAAGCAAACAGUCACAUACAAAGGAUCCCCAAUAAGAUUAAGUGCCAACUUCUCCUCAGAAAUAUUGGAGGCCAGAAGGCAAUGUAAUGAAAUAUUUAAAGUGCUGAAAGAAAAAAACUGUCAACCAAGAAUACUAUACCCAGCAAAAAUUUCCUUCAAGAAUGAGGGUGAAAUUAAAACAUUCCCAGACAAACAGAAGCUGAGAGAGUUCGUAUCCACCAGACUGGCCCUAGAAAAAAUACUAAUGAUAUUUCUUUAGAUGGAAGGGAAAAGGCACUAGAAAGUAAUUAAAAGAAUUAUAUAAAAAGAAAGAUCCCUAAUAAAGGGAAUUGUAUAGACAAGUAGGAAACUCUGGUGGCAUAGUGGUUAAGUGCUAUGGCUGCUAACCAGGAGGUCAGCAGUUUGAAUCCACCAGGCGCUCCUUGGAAACUCUAUGGGGCAGUUCUACUCUGUCCUAUAGGGUCGCUAUGAGUCGGAAUUGACUCAACAGCACUGGGUUUGGUUUUUUGGUUUACUCUUUACAGGAGCAGAUCGCCAGGUCUUUUCUCCCUCAGAGUCACCAGUGAGUUUGAACAGCCAACCUCUCAGCUAGCAGCCAAGCGCUUAACCAUUGAGCCAUCAGGGCCCCUUAAGCCCCUCGGCAUCAGGUUAAAAAUAAACAUUCUGGUUCAGAGGUCUGAGCAGGCCUGCAAUUCUGCGUGUCUGACAAGCUUCCAGAUGGCCAGAGUUGCUGAGCUUAGAAGACCAUUUUGUUUUUCUUUCAAGUAUUUUGAAGAUGAUUGGGUCUUUAGAAACACGUGCCUUUUGAAAAGACCUCAGUGUUACCCACAAGCAGUUCCGGGAACCAGAGUAAACAUUUUCAAACAGAAGGGGGUGAAGUCAGCAGCUGGGAGGGUAUCAUGUUUUAGCUGUGCUCAUUGUCCCAAUUUUUUUCAGCUCUUGCCACAAGCACACACUGGAUGCCACCAAAAGGACUGUUCUCAAAAUAUACAUAACAAUGGAUUUUAUAAACACUGCUUGACAAAUUCUGCUUGUUCCUGAGACCACCAGGCCUGUUUUACCCCGACUUUAUUUUCCAUUGUGUAACUUCAGUUAUUGGAGGGGGUUUAAGAAGAUUUAAAUGUGGAAGCACAUAAACAGAAGCAGUUUCAUUGUCUAUUUUCUACAUUUAAUUGGACAGAAGUAAUACUUGUGAUUCUGCCUCCAUUUUAGGGUUUUCAUUUUCGACUUGGCAAAUUCAGUCAUUCUUACGUCCAAAGAGACUCCUGUAGAAAACGCUGCGGGCCCACAGCAUACCUAACAGUCUGGAGCAGACCAGGAAGAAGGGAAUACUGAGUCUGGCAGCUUUUUCAAGAUGUUUCAGAAAUGCUUAAUAUGUGUUGCUUCUUACCCAAGAAGCAGGGCUACAUGUUAUCUUCAUUGAAAAAUAUUAUCUUAUUUGGAGAAAAACAGGUUUACGUUGUGGCUAUGUACAAAGUACACCAAUUCUUAGAUUUAUCCCUUAUUUUCAGUUGUGAAAACUGCCUGCCACUUGGCUGCUAACCAGAAGGUUGGCCAUUUGAGUCCACCCAGAGGUGCCUCAGAAGACAGGUCUGGAGCACAGUUCUAUUCUGACACACACGGGGUUGCCAUGAGUCAGAAUCUACCUGACUGGCUCUGGUUAGACCAAGCCCUUGCCACCCCUUACUGUGUUUCGGUAACAUCCUCCUGGUUAGUGUCCUUGUCUCUAGGUUCUAGAUUCUAUCUCAUCCAAAUCUACUCUGAACUUACUUGCAAAAAUGGUCUCCUUGGCUUAAGGAGAUUAAGACCUUGUUAUGGAUUGAGUUGUGUCCCCCCAAAAUAUGCGUUGUAAAUCCUAAACCCCUAUAGCUGUGGAUGUAAUCCCAUUUGGGAAUAGGGUUUCUCUGUUACGCCAAUGAGGCUGUAUCAGUGUAGGGUGUGUUGUAAGCCAAUCACCUUCGACAUAUCAAAAGGGCAGAUUAGGCACAGAAGGAAGGAUACACAGACAGGGGAAGACAGACGUCACAUCAAGUGAAGAUGGCCAAGGAACUGAGGAGCAGAAGCUGAAAGGCGACAAAGACCUCUCCUCAGAGCCGACAGAGAGAGAAAGCCCUCCCCUAGAGCUGUCACCCUGAAUUCAGACUUCUAGCCUCCUAAGCUGUGAGAAAAUAAAUUUUUGUCAAAGCCACCCAAUUGUGGUAUUUCUGCUACGGCAGCACUAAGAAACUAAGACAGCCUUUAAGAACCAUUUCUUUCAUCAUUUUCCUUUUGCAAAACAUUUGCUCAAAACCCACAGUUGUCAACCUCUUACUCAAGACCUUUCAUUAAAUAGAUUAACAGUCACUCAGGUUUUGGGACCCCUUCUAUCCCUCAGCAAAGGCAACAUGAGGACUUAGGUCAGUAGGUCAGUCUUGUUUACUUUUCAUACUAAGUCUGUGUCAUCUAACUGUGAAUCCAAUCACUUCAAUAGAGAUAGGACUACGCAAGUAAUCUAUCUCUUCUUCAGUGAGUUUCAGUAGUUUGCAUCCUCCAAAGAAUUAUGUCUUGGUGAGUCUGUCUAGAGGUUUAUCAAUGUUAUUGAUCUUUUCAAAGAACUAGCAUUUGGUUUCCUAGAUUUUUGUAUUACUUUUUUGUUUUGUUUUGUUUCAGUUUUAUUGGUUCUGCUCUUAUCUUAUUAUUUGCUUCUUUCUGAUAACUCUGAGUUUAUUGUGGUCUUUUUUUUCUGGUUCCUUAAGAUGAAAGCACAGACUAUUGAUGUGAGGCCUCACUUCUACUAUAUGCAUUAAAUAACAUAUAUUUCCUUCUAAGCAUUGCUCUAGCUUCAUUUUGAUAUGUUGUAUUUUCAUUUUCAGUCAAAUCAAAAUAUUUGAUCAUUUCCUUUGAAAUGUGCUUUUUGACCCAUGGAUUAUUUAGAAGUACACAGUUUAAUUUCUAAGAAGUUGGGUAUUUUCCAGCUAUUUUUCCUUUAUUGAUUUUCUAGAGUAAUUCCAUUGUGGUCAGAGAACAUACUUCAUAUGACUUCAAUUCUUUUACAAAGGUUUGUUAAAGUUUGUUUUAUGACCUACAUCUUGGUAUGUGCUCCGUGUGCGCUCGAAAAGAAUGCGUACUUCACUGUUGUUUGGUGGAGUGGUGGUGUUUAGAGCCCUGGUGGCACAGUGGUUAAGAGCUGAUCUGCUAACCAAAAGGUCAAUAGUUCAAAUCCACCAGCCACUCCUUGGAAACCCUACGGGGCGGUUCUACCCUGUCCUGUAGGGUCACUGGUAGUUGGAAUCAACUCGACAGCAAUGGGUUUGUUUGUUUGUUUAUUUUGGUUUUUGUUGAUUUUUUUUUUGUCUACUUGUUUUAUUGCUGAAUGAGGACUCUUAAAAUCUCCAACUGUAACUGCGAAUUUAUUUCUCCUUAGAGUUCUGUCAGAUUAUAUUUUGAAUUCCUUUUGUUAGGUUCAUAUACAUUAUGAAUCCUGUAUCUUCUUGGUGUAUUGACCCUUUUAUCAUUAUGCAAUGACACUGUUUAUUCCUGGUCAUUUCCCUUGUUCUGACAUCCACUCUAAUAUUAAUGGAACCACUCUAGCCUUGUUUUAAUGUAUUUGCGUUGUAUAUAUUUCCCAUCUUUUUAUAUGUAACCUAUUCAUAUCAUUCUAUUUAAAGUGGGUUUCUUAACAUAUUUUGACACUUGGUUUUUUUUGUUUGUUUGCUUGUUCAAUCUAACCAUCAUGGUCUUUAUUUAUUGUGCUUAGAAGAUUUGCAUUUAAUGUGAUUAUUAAUAUAGUUGGAUUUAUAUCUACUGUUAUGUUGUUUUGUUUUCUGUUUGUCCCUUCUAUUUUUUUCUUGUCUCCCCUUUUCUACAUUAUUUGGACUAUUCAAAUAUAUCUUAGUAUUUUAUUUUAACUCAUUUAAUGGAUUUUUGUUUACAGCUCUUUGUGUCACUUUUAGUGGUUUUUCUAGGUAUUACUCUAUUAUUACUUCACUUUUCACAGUCUAUUAAAAAUAGUAUUUUACUUUUCCAAAUGAAAUGUAGAAAGCUUAGCCUCUAUUUUAUGUUAUAGUUGACAUAUAUAUUACAUCUACUACCAGAUGAUGUUAUAAUUUUUGCUAUCCAUCAUUGUAUGUAAUAUUUUAAAGACCUUGAGAGCAAAAGUAAUCUAUCACAUUGACCUAGAUCUUCACCAUUUCUUGGAAACUCGAUGGGGCAGUUCCACUCUGACCUACAGGGUCGCAAGGAGUCGUAAUCUACUCAACAGCACCGGGUUUUUUGGUUUGGUUACCAUUUCUGUUGCUCUUCUUUCACGCUUGAAAUUCCCAUUUUUCCCGAGAUAUAACUUCCUUUCCUCCUGCAAUACCCUCUGUAACAGUUCUUUUGGAGAAGGUCUGCUUUUUACUAGUUUUUAGUUUUCUUUCACCUGAGAAUAUUGCUAUGAUGCUUCCAUUUCCGAAAGAUAUUUUCACUGGAGAACCCUGGGUUGACCAGAUUAUUUUCUUUUACUACUUCAAAUAUGUUGUGUCACUUUCUACUAACCUCCUUAGUUUCCCAAGAGAAAUCCAGUCAUUCAACUGUGAUGUGGCAUUCUUUCUCUGGCAGCUUUCAGGAAUUUUUUAAACCAUUACUUUUCACCAGUUUGAUUAUGAUAUAUCUGGGCAUGGUUUCUUUUGAGUUUAUCCAGUUUGGAGUUCUUCAAGCAUCUCAAAUCUCUAAAUUUCUGUCUUUCAUCAAAUUCGGGAAUUUUUCAGCCACUAUUUCUUCAAAUAUUUGUUCUGUAAAAAUUACAUUGUCCUUUUUUCUGGAACUUAACUGACAUGAGUGCUAUACUAUUUUAUAUUAUCUCACAGAUCCCCGAGACUCUGUUAACUUUUUUUAUUAUAUUUUUUUCUCUCUGUUGUUUAGAUUGGAUAAUUUCUAUAGAUCUAUCUUCAAAGCCAUGGCUUUUUCACUCUAUCAUCUCCAUUCUCCUACUGAGCCAACCCAAUAGUAUCUUUAAGUGAGCUACUAUAUUUUUCAGUUCUAAAAUUUCCAUUUGGUUAUUUAUUACAGGCUUUUACUUCUCUGGUGAUAAUCACUGUCUUUCAUUUGUUUCAAGAACUGGAACUCUUAUAUAUGACUGGCCAGAUUUUAAAAUGGUGCCACCGCCUUGGAAAACCACUUGGCAGUCUCUUGAAAAAAGUCAAGCAUACAUCUACCAUGGAUCCCGUCCUUCCUCGCGUAGAUAUUUGCCCAGUAGUAAUGAAAACACAUACCCAUUCGAAGCUAAUAUAAAUUUCCCAGCGUCCUUUUUCUGAUUAUACAAAAACUGGAAACACCUCAAAUGUUCAUCAACAGAUAAAGAGAUAAACAAAUUUUGUAUAUUCAUACAAUGCUUUCUUGUCAUUGUUCUUAGGCACA
This is a long non-coding RNA of Loxodonta africana (African savanna elephant), 10586 nucleotides long. RefSeq lists it as uncharacterized. Lineage: Eukaryota; Metazoa; Chordata; Mammalia; Proboscidea; Elephantidae. The record is from RefSeq and is a predicted model, not a curated record. The transcript has 3 exons.